AGGUUCCGGGCUUUGCUUAAAUGGACUAAAUUUUAAUUACAGAAAGCGUGGUGAGCAGCAGGCAAGGAGGGUGGACUUCCCGCAUGCCGUGAUCUGGAUUGAAAAAGGCCACAGAGAGAGAGAGGCUCUCUACUGCCCUGAGAAUGACAUCCCCACUGUUCACCAUGGCCUUAAAUCCCCUGCGAAUUCCACCUCAUCCUCUGCCACUUCCCGUCACUGCUCUGAAGAUGCCCUGAUCUUGUUUCAGUCCCUUGGAUGUACCCAGCUCUUCUCCAUCUUUGCAUGUGUCAUAGCCUCUUCCUGGAAAACCCUUCCUGCUGCUCAUCCCAGAACUGACUCUCCAUGUAUUUACUCUUAUUUUGAGAGAAGGGGGCAUUUCCACCACCAGAAGGGAACUUGCUGUCUUGGUAGCCAUUGUCCCCUGACACCUGGCACAUCUACUCUAUACAGUCACCAUUCAAGUGGAUGUUGAAUGAGUACACUUGUUUCACAGUUUGGUUGGGUAAGCCCCAAAGCUUGGUUCCCGGUAGGAUCAGGCUUUAUGAGUGGGCUGAGUUUCUAUAAAAGUCUCCCUACCAGUUUCCAAUCUUGGUGAAACUAUGUCUGUGGGCACAAAUGAGAAAACUUGCCAUUCGUAUCACCGGUUACCCAGCUGUGGACCAUGUGGGCCAGGUCCACAGAAGAGCCUUAUCCUACUUUCACUUUUUAUUUCCUGCAGUCAUGGGGACAGUGGGGCACCACCUUUUCAGAAACUCUAAGAAAGAGUGUUCAUGAAAGUGGCCAGAGAGUUUUACAAUUUUGCCAUUAGGAAUGAUUAAAUAUCCAUGACUAAUGCCUCUGUGAUUAAAUUGUAUUGGGAGUUCCAAA
This is a long non-coding RNA of Homo sapiens (human), 867 nucleotides long. The record is from Ensembl. Lineage: Eukaryota; Metazoa; Chordata; Mammalia; Primates; Hominidae.